AUAUGGUACUGAGAAGAUUAGCAUGGCCUUUGUGCAAGGAUGGUAUGCAAAUUUAUGAAGCAUUUCAUAUUUUA
Dipodomys ordii (Ord's kangaroo rat) is the source of this 74-nucleotide non-coding RNA. NCBI's taxonomy places the organism in Eukaryota, Metazoa, Chordata, Mammalia, Rodentia, Heteromyidae. The record is from Rfam.